RNAcentral lists this ribosomal RNA (917 nucleotides) under Enterococcus faecium. RNAcentral's name for it is "partial 23S ribosomal RNA". It matches the Rfam family "Bacterial large subunit ribosomal RNA", at positions 310 to 1229 of the family's 2925-position model. Lineage: Bacteria; Bacillati; Bacillota; Bacilli; Lactobacillales; Enterococcaceae. The record is from RNAcentral.
AAUAUGGUAGUUCUUUCAGAUAGUCGAAUGACUUGGAAAAGUCAGUCAAAGAGGGUAAAAACCCCGUAGACGAAAUGUGGAAGACACCUAGGAGGAUCCUGAGUACGGCGGAACACGAGAAAUUCCGUCGGAAUCCGGGAGGACCAUCUCCCAAGGCUAAAUACUCCCUAGUGACCGAUAGUGAACCAGUACCGUGAGGGAAAGGUGAAAAGCACCCCGGAAGGGGAGUGAAAUAGAACCUGAAACCGUGUGCCUACAACAAGUCAAAGCCCGUUAAUGGGUGAUGGCGUGCCUUUUGUAGAAUGAACCGGCGAGUUACGAUUGCAUGCGAGGUUAAGUUGAAGAGACGGAGCCGCAGCGAAAGCGAGUCUGAAUAGGGCGUUUGAGUAUGUAGUCGUAGACCCGAAACCAUGUGAUCUACCCAUGUCCAGGUUGAAGGUGCGGUAAAACGCACUGGAGGACCGAACCCACGUACGUUGAAAAGUGCGGGGAUGAGGUGUGGGUAGCGGAGAAAUUCCAAACGAACUUGGAGAUAGCUGGUUCUCUCCGAAAUAGCUUUAGGGCUAGCCUCGGAAUUGAGAAUGAUGGAGGUAGAGCACUGUUUGGACUAGGGGCCCAUCUCGGGUUACCGAAUUCAGAUAAACUCCGAAUGCCAUUCAUUCAUAUCCGGGAGUCAGACUGUGAGUGAUAAGAUCCAUAGUCGAAAGGGAAACAGCCCAGACCACCAGCUAAGGUCCCAAAAUAUAUGUUAAGUGGAAAAGGAUGUGGGGUUGCACAGACAACUAGGAUGUUGGCUUAGAAGCAGCCACCAUUUAAAGAGUGCGUAAUAGCUCACUAGUCGAGUGACCCUGCGCCGAAAAUGUACCGGGGCUAAACAUAUUACCGAAGCUGUGGAGUACACCUUUAGGUGUAUUGGU